RNAcentral lists this long non-coding RNA (221 nucleotides) under Anser brachyrhynchus (Pink-footed goose). Its description in RNAcentral is "lncRNA (ENSABRG00000010429.1)". Lineage: Eukaryota; Metazoa; Chordata; Aves; Anseriformes; Anatidae. The record is from RNAcentral.
GAGGCGGGCGCCGGCUCCCUCACCGCCACCGCCGCUUCCGUCUCGGCACCUGGAGGCGGCGGGGCGCAGGAAGUUUACCCAGGAAAAGAAAUGGAUGCAAAACUUCACGAGGGACUGCCUGCCCCCCUUCUAUCUUGUGCUGUGCAAAAUGCAGAGGAAGAAGAAAACGUAUCAGCAAGAGAGGAAAAGUUUGUGGCUGGAUCCCGUUCUCACCAAAGCCC